GCCCUCUUGGCUCAGUUGGCAGAGCGUCUGCCUAGUAAGCAGAAGGUCAUCAGUUCGAUUCUGAUAGCGGGCA
Transfer RNA from Absidia repens, 73 nucleotides. It matches the Rfam family "tRNA". Rfam says of the family: Transfer RNA (tRNA) molecules are approximately 80 nucleotides in length. Their secondary structure includes four short double-helical elements and three loops (D, anti-codon, and T loops). Lineage: Eukaryota; Fungi; Mucoromycota; Mucoromycetes; Mucorales; Cunninghamellaceae. The record is from Rfam.